GAGCCGCUAGCUCAGCUGGUAGAGCACCGGCCUUUUAAGCCGAGGGUCGUGGGUUCGAUCCCCACGCGGCUCA
RNAcentral lists this transfer RNA (73 nucleotides) under Deltaproteobacteria bacterium 13_1_40CM_3_69_14. Its description in RNAcentral is "tRNA-Lys". It matches the Rfam family "tRNA". From Rfam's summary of the family: Transfer RNA (tRNA) molecules are approximately 80 nucleotides in length. Their secondary structure includes four short double-helical elements and three loops (D, anti-codon, and T loops). Lineage: Bacteria; Deltaproteobacteria. RNAcentral also lists the same sequence under 4 other names. The record is from RNAcentral.